RNAcentral lists this ribosomal RNA (253 nucleotides) under uncultured bacterium. Its description in RNAcentral is "partial 16S ribosomal RNA". It matches the Rfam family "Bacterial small subunit ribosomal RNA", at positions 524 to 776 of the family's 1533-position model. The record is from RNAcentral.
UACGUAGGGCGCAAGCGUUAUCCGGAAUUAUUGGGCGUAAAGAGCUCGUAGGCGGUUUGUCGCGUCUGACGUGAAAGUCCGGGGCUCAACUCCGGAUCUGCGGUGGGUACGGGCAGACUAGAGUGCGGUAGGGGAGACUGGAAUUCCUGGUGUAGCGGUGAAAUGCGCAGAUAUCAGGAGGAACACCGGUGGCGAAGGCGGUUCUCUGGGCAUGAUCUGACGCUGAGGAGCGAAAGUGUGGGGAGCGAACAGG